RNAcentral lists this ribosomal RNA (499 nucleotides) under uncultured bacterium. RNAcentral describes it as "partial 16S ribosomal RNA". It matches the Rfam family "Bacterial small subunit ribosomal RNA", at positions 29 to 523 of the family's 1533-position model. The record is from RNAcentral.
AUUGAACGCUGGCGGCAUGCCUUACACAUGCAAGUCGAACGCGAAAGGGGGGCAACUCCUGAGUAGAGUGGCGCACGGGUGAGUAAUGCAUCGGAACGUGUCCUGUAGCGGGGGAUAACCUAGCGAAAGCUAGGCUAAUACCGCAUACGUCCUACGGGAGAAAGUGGGGGAUCGUAAGACCUCACACUAUAGGAGCGGCCGAUGCCGGAUUAGCUAGUUGGUGGGGUAAAAGCCUACCAAGGCGACGAUCCGUAGCUGGUCUGAGAGGAUGAUCAGCCACACUGGGACUGAGCCACGACCCAGAAUCCUACGGGAGGCAGCAGUGGGGAAUUUUGGACAAUGGGGGAAACCCUGAUCCAGCCAUGCCGCGUGAGUGAAGAAGGCCUUCGGGUUGUAAAGCUCUUUCGGCCGGGACGAAAUCGCACGCGUGAAUAUCGCGUGUGGAUGACGGUACCGGAAGAAGAAGGACCGGCUAACUACGUGCCAGCAGCCGCCGUAA